AUGGCGACCAGCUCCGGCGGCGGCUAUGGCGGAGAAGGUCUCGACGGCUCCGGCGGCGGUGGUCAUUCUUCCGGUGGCCGCUGCCCGCAAUGCGACCCCGUUGGCAAGUUGGGCCCCAACCCCGAUGGCGAUUCACACUCGACGGUGGAUUGGGGGAAAGAUGUCCUGCCGCCACCGUCGCAGCAUGCGGAGGAGGCAGAGAAGGAUGUUGCGGACGCGGAGAAGGCGUCAGCGGCGGCUGAUUCGUUGGGGGAGGAAGUACCCCCCGGGCAUCCAUCUCCACCCAGGCCUGAGGAGCCAUGGUCAUUAUAUUUUCAGUUUCCUUCUAAAGAUGCUGCCAAAAAAUAUGCCCUUGUGAAGAUGUAUGAGAGAGACAUCACUUAUGGCAAUUUGCUUAAUGUGAUGGUCAGAAAUGGAUAUGGAAGUGAUGACAGUAUUUGCUACUUGAGGAAGGAUUGCACAGGGCUGCAAGGGAUUACUUUCGUCAGAAACAACACUGAAGUGGAUGAGAUGAUAAAGCGGUUUAAAAAUAGUCAGACACUGUGUUUGUAUGUUAAAGAGGGGAAAUUAGAUAUAAAGCAAGCAUCAGUUAACAAAAGUGCAGAAGAUGAAGAAGUGGACCCAGAUGAAACAAUUGAAGAUUUAACAGUGGACCCACCAGUUGUAUUUGCUGUUAAUGAGUCAGGUGUUGUGCACAAAACAAACACUGAUCAUGUUGGCUCAUCAUAUUUUCUUGGUACAUAA
Molecule: ribosomal RNA, 744 nt
Filed under: Triticum aestivum (bread wheat)
Lineage: Eukaryota; Viridiplantae; Streptophyta; Magnoliopsida; Poales; Poaceae
Description: partial small subunit ribosomal RNA
Source: RNAcentral